This 448-nucleotide ribosomal RNA is filed under the name uncultured bacterium. RNAcentral describes it as "SSU rRNA". It matches the Rfam family "Bacterial small subunit ribosomal RNA", at positions 26 to 518 of the family's 1533-position model. The record is from RNAcentral.
AGAACGAACGCUGGCGGCAGGCCUCAAACAUGCAAGUCUAGGGGGUGUAGCAAUACAUCACCGGCGGACGGGUGCGUAACGCGUGGGAAUAUACCUAUUGGUUCGGAACAACUGAGGGAAACUUCAGCUAAUACCGAAUGUGCCUUAACGGGGAAAGAUUUAUCGCCAAUGGAUUAGCCCGCGUUCGAUUAGCUAGUUGGUGGGGUAACGGCCCACCAAGGCGACGAUCGAUAGCUGUUCUGAGAGGAAGAUCAGCCACACUGGGACUGAGACACGGCCCAGACUCCUACGGGAGGCAGCAGUUGGGAAUCUUGGACAAUGGGGGAAACCCUGAUCCAGCCAUGCCGCGUGAGUGAUGAAGGCCUUCGGGUUGUAAAACUCUUUCGCGCACGACGAUAAUGACGGUAGUGCGAGAAGAAGCUCCGGCUAACUUCGUGCCAGCAGCCGC